This 490-nucleotide ribosomal RNA is filed under the name uncultured bacterium. RNAcentral's name for it is "partial 16S ribosomal RNA". It matches the Rfam family "Bacterial small subunit ribosomal RNA", at positions 355 to 832 of the family's 1533-position model. The record is from RNAcentral.
UGGGGAAUUUUGGACAAUGGGCGAAAGCCUGAUCCAGCAAUGCCGCGUGUGUGAAGAAGGCCUUCGGGUUGUAAAGCACUUUUGUCCGGAAAGAAAAUCCUUGGCUCUAAUACAGUCGGGGGAUGACGGUACCGGAAGAAUAAGCACCGGCUAACUACGUGCCAGCAGCCGCGGUAAUACGUAGGGUGCAAGCGUUAAUCGGAAUUACUGGGCGUAAAGCGUGCGCAGGCGGUUUGCUAAGACCGAUGUGAAAUCCCCGGGCUCAACCUGGGAACUGCAUGGUGACUGGCAGGCUAGAGUAUGGCAGAGGGGGGUAGAAUUCCACGUGUAGCAGUGAAAUGCGUAGAGAUGUGGAGGAAUACCGAUGGCGAAGGCAGCCCCCUGGGCCAAUACUGACGCUCAUGCACGAAAAGCGUGGGGGAGCAAAACAGGAUUAGAUACCCCUGGUAGUCCACGCCCUAAAACGAUGUCAACUAGUUGUUGGGGGAUU